RNAcentral lists this ribosomal RNA (324 nucleotides) under uncultured bacterium. RNAcentral's name for it is "bacterial SSU rRNA". It matches the Rfam family "Bacterial small subunit ribosomal RNA", at positions 28 to 353 of the family's 1533-position model. The record is from RNAcentral.
GACGAACGCUGGCGGCGUGCUUAACACAUGCAAGUCGAGCGGUAAGGCCCUUUCGGGGGUACACGGAGCGGCGAACGGGUGAGUAACACGUGGGUGACCUGCCCUCAGCUCUGGGAUAAGCCUGGGAAACCGGGUCUAAUACCGGAUAUGACUCCAUGACGCAUGUUGUGGGGUGGAAAGCCUUGUGCGGCUGAGGAUGGGCCCGCGGCCUAUCAGCUUGUUGGUGGGGUGAUGGCCUACCAAGGCGACGACGGUAGCCGGCCUGAGAGGGCGACCGGCCACACUGGGACUGAGACACGGCCCAGACUCCUACGGGAGGCAGCA